Molecule: long non-coding RNA, 1178 nt
Organism: Glycine soja
Lineage: Eukaryota; Viridiplantae; Streptophyta; Magnoliopsida; Fabales; Fabaceae
Exons: 6
Source: RefSeq, a predicted model, not a curated record
UUUUAGAGAAAUUAAUACCAUAUGCCGCAAAGAGUGAGAUUUUCAUCUUGGGAGCUACCGGUGAAGUAUCAUACCUUGAACUUGUCCAUCCACAAGAAGCUCCAGUAGCAAACAAUGUUUUACAAGAUACGAGUUCCAUAUCCAUUUCAAUGGGGAGCACCUACAUUUGAUGCAAGUGAAGCCUUUGCCAUGAUGAUGGCAUCCUUUGUUGCUCUUGUAGAGGAUCCUUGAAAGAAAAGAGUUUGUGAUAGUGUUACUGUGUGGCACUAGUGGUUGUGACAAAUCUACAUUCUCUACAUUGCUGCAUUUGCUUUGUAGAUUUGUCCAAGAAUGGCUUCACUGUGGAGAUACCUUCGGCUUUGUUUACCUACUGCUACAAAACCAAGUGAGUUUCUCUUUCUCAUAACAACCUUGCUGGUUCAAUUCCUGCCUCCUUGAGAGAGAGAGAGAGAAAGAGGUAAACCAAGUGGCAUAUGAGGUUUGUUUUGAAGUUUGUCCUUACUUAUGGACUCGGAUGAACCUUUCAGUCAUUAAAUUAAUCUUUAUCAUUUCUGUUGGAUGCUUUUUUUUUUAUAGAUUCUAGUAGCGUCAAUUGUAUGCCUGGUAAAUCUUGUCAUAUGUUGGUUGUUGUUCAAAUGUAUUUUUGUAGCGUGAUUCAUUCCUAAAUCGGCAGCAAUUUUUAUAGUAAAGGUAUUGGCGCAAUGAUCUAUUAUUGGGUCCACAUAAAGGAUAGGUUGGCAGUAGGCAGCGAUAGGUGAUAUCAUGUGGUAGGAUAAUGACAAUUUUGUUGAUGAUGGAAUUCAAAUUGAGCCUUUCAACAUAGAGAAAGAAAGGGAAGAAGGUUAUUUUGAUGCUACAGGAAAUUUUGUUGAAUAUAUAAGAGAGAACGAGAUUAAGGAUGCGUGGCUUGAUAAUGUUGAAGUUGAUCCAUAAUAUGCUGCUGUAGCAACAAAUGAUGAAGAUGAGAGCCCCCCAGACCUUUCCUCUAAAGAUAUUGGAAUCAUGAAGAGGCGCAUUGCAAAUGUUCUUGAACCUGGGGAAACGCUCACUCUAGAGUAGAAGCAGUAGAUCAUCUAUUUAUUGAGGCAAACAUUUAUUUUCUUUAUGGCUUAGCAAUUGGGAUAUUUCUUGUUGAGGAAAUUUAUAUCCAUAUAAUAUAUAGUAGUUAAAAGUUUAAA